UUAAUUUUGUAUUUUUUUUUCACUUAGUAGAUGAACCUACAAGUAAUAUUUUUAUAAAAUGAAAAAAAGAAAAAUCUAAUGUUUAAAAAAUGAAAAUGCCUUUGCCAGUUGAAGAUGCAGUUGAUUCGGUUAAUUUCUUCAGUACAGAUCCCGGAAUCCCAUUUCAUUUAUUGAGACGUUUAAAAGCAACGCAACCUUUUGAUCAAAGCGUUUCCACAGCAACACAGUUUAUAAACAAUCUUGGCGAAGUGUUAAAUAAGUUCAAUGAUAAAGUUAUUAAAGAUAAUCUCAGUAGUUUUCUACCUCAUUUACCAGGUUACAUUGAUUCUCCAGGCACUCAAGAAGAUAGUCUACAGCAGUUGGUUGAAAGACCACCAAUUGGUGGUAGAGAACUCUUACCUUUAUCAGAAUCUGCUCUUCAAAGCUUUCGUUUGAUGCCUGGAUCAGUACCAGAUCAAUUUAAAUUUAUGAAUAAACCAUAUGACAAGAAGAAAAAGAAAAAACAUAAGCAUAGUGUAGCAGAAACAUCACUAACGGAAUUAUCAACAGAACGAAAGCACAAAAAAACUUAUAAUGAAUUUAAAAAUCUGAAAAAAACACAUUGACUUCCAACACCAAGACAAAAUAAACCUGUCCAAGACCUAGAUAUGACCCAGCCAAGACAAAAAAAAUGACAAGUUUGGACAAGACAUAGCUUCCAAAACUAAAUAAAAGCAAGACUGGCCUUUUGACUUUACUUGUUUUCUAUGCCUUUUUUACUGGCAUUUUAUGGCAAACAAUACUCUGGCGAUAAAAGAUUAGUCAAAAUGUUUUAUUGGAUCCUAUACAAUGGAUAAGAGGAAAAGGGAAGAAGGUGAUAAAAAAAAGAAA
Non-coding RNA from Hydra vulgaris (swiftwater hydra), 870 nucleotides. NCBI's taxonomy places the organism in Eukaryota, Metazoa, Cnidaria, Hydrozoa, Anthoathecata, Hydridae. The record is from RefSeq and is a predicted model, not a curated record.